GAUGAACGCUCGCGGCAGGCCUAACACAUGCAAGUCGAGGGAGAAGCCCUUUCGGGGGCCGAAACCGGCGCACGGGUGCGUAACGCGUAUGCAACCUACCUUUCACAGGGGGAUAGCCCGAAGAAAUUUGGAUUAAUACCCCAUAAUAUUAUUGGAUGGCAUCAUUUGAUAAUUAAAACUGCGGUGGUGAAAGAUGGGCAUGCGUCCUAUUAGCUAGUUGGAGUGGUAACGGCACCCCAAGGCUACGAUAGGUAGGGGUCCUGAGAGGGAGAUCCCCCACACUGGUACUGAGACAGGGACCAGACUCCUACGGGAGGCAGCAGUGAGGAAUAUUGGUCAAUGGUCGGAAGACUGAACCAGCCAUGCCGCGUGCAGGAAGAAUGCCUUAUGGGUUGUAAACUGCUUUUAUAUGGGAAGAAUAAGGCGUACGUGUACGUUGAUGACGGUACCAUAUGAAUAAGCAUCGGCUAACUCCGUG
RNAcentral lists this ribosomal RNA (478 nucleotides) under uncultured bacterium. RNAcentral describes it as "partial 16S ribosomal RNA". It matches the Rfam family "Bacterial small subunit ribosomal RNA", at positions 28 to 507 of the family's 1533-position model. The record is from RNAcentral.